This 221-nucleotide unclassified non-coding RNA is filed under the name soil metagenome. RNAcentral describes it as "partial contains 5.8S ribosomal RNA, internal transcribed spacer 2, and large subunit ribosomal RNA". The record is from RNAcentral.
AACCAUAGAAACCUGCGGAGUACCUGCGGAGGGAUCAUUACACAAUACAAUAUGAAGGCUGUCCGCAGCUGGAGUAUUUUAUUACCCUUGUCUUUUGCGCACUUGUUGUUUCCUGGGCGGGUUCGCUCGCCACCAGGACCACCAAAUAAACCUUUUUUAUGCAGUUGCAAUCAGCGUCAGUACAAACAAUGUAAAUCAUUACAACUUUCAGCAACGGAUCU